RNAcentral lists this ribosomal RNA (482 nucleotides) under uncultured bacterium. Its description in RNAcentral is "partial 16S ribosomal RNA". It matches the Rfam family "Bacterial small subunit ribosomal RNA", at positions 30 to 507 of the family's 1533-position model. The record is from RNAcentral.
AUUGAACGCUGGCGGCAUGCCUUACACAUGCAAGUCGAACGGUAACGGGCCUUCGGGUGCCGACGAGUGGCGAACGGGUGAGUAAUACAUCGGAACGUGCACGAUCGUGGGGGAUAACGAGGCGAAAGCUUUGCUAAUACCGCAUACGACCUACGGAUGAAAGCAGGGGACCGCAAGGCCUUGCGCGGACGGAGCGGCCGAUGGCAGAUUAGGUAGUUGGUGGGAUAAAAGCUUACCAAGCCGACGAUCUGUAGCUGGUCUGAGAGGAUGAUCAGCCACACUGGGACUGAGACACGGCCCAGACUCCUACGGGAGGCAGCAGUGGGGAAUUUUGGACAAUGGGCGCAAGCCUGAUCCAGCCAUGCCGCGUGCAGGAUGAAGGCCUUCGGGUUGUAAACUGCUUUUGUACGGAACGAAAAGCCUUCUUUUAAUACAGGAGGGUCAUGACGGUACCGUAAGAAUAAGCACCGGCUAACUACGUG